CUGAAAGCUUAUUGAUCUUGCGAUCCAUCUGGCUCUUCUCUGUCUUCAGGUCCUGGCACUGCUUCAGGGUUUCAUGCAGCCGCAUGCAAGCUGCUUCUUCAGCCGUCUCAUCUGGAACUGUGGGGUCUGCAGGAUAUCACCCAUGGGAGAAGCUGGAGAACCUGAGAGAAAGCUGAGGAGGGAGAAGGCCCAUAUGCAUUGGUCUCAUGAGGAACCUGAAUACAAGGAACAUCAAACUCAACGGCUAGAACUCGCCUAGACCUCCUUCUUACAUUCCUAUCAUCUACCAGCUGACCUCUUCAUCAGAAGACCAGCAGAACAAUCACUCUUUCUACUGUAGUACCAGCCGAGACCGUUGAUAUAUUCCGUACUUAGAUUCCUUAUCAUAUUUCCUGGUUUAUGUAUCUGCCUUUCCACCUAGAACAUGUGCUACGUGACGGGAAAAACAUUUUUUAAAAGACUGUGGGCCGGGCACAGUGGCUCAUUCCUGUAUUCCUAACACUU
Long non-coding RNA from Nomascus leucogenys (northern white-cheeked gibbon), 504 nucleotides. RefSeq lists it as uncharacterized. NCBI's taxonomy places the organism in Eukaryota, Metazoa, Chordata, Mammalia, Primates, Hylobatidae. The record is from RefSeq and is a predicted model, not a curated record. The transcript has 3 exons.